This 526-nucleotide long non-coding RNA is filed under the name Homo sapiens (human). RNAcentral describes it as "HSALNT0388274". The record is from RNAcentral. Lineage: Eukaryota; Metazoa; Chordata; Mammalia; Primates; Hominidae.
GCCUUAGCGAGGCCAUGGGGGAAAAAGUCUAACUGGCGGAACUCCUGGGAACUGGGGCGAUGGGCUCUUAGUAUCGGAGGAUUGGAGCCAUCUGAUUUUUACCUGAAAUUCCUUAGUCUCUCCUGUGUUGGGGAAAUGGUCACCUUGCCUUCAGGGACCUGGGCUUUCAGCUGUCCAUACCUGGCCCUGGUUGAUGGCGGCAUGCUGGGCAGUGCACGUGAAGACGCACAUGAGACCGGGACUUGCUGUGUUGCCCAGGCUGGUCUUGAACUCCUGGUCUUAAGCAAUCAUACUGCUUUGGCCACCCAAAGCACUGGGAUUACAGGCGUGAACCACCACACCCAGCUCUUAAAACCACAGUAUUUCUAGAUUAAUAAGUACCUUGAAGAUGGGGUGCAGUCCUGGGAGGCACCGCAUGGUGGCGACAGCGAUGACCUCAGCCACCAGGUGAGUGUUCAGCAAGUGAUACUGGAUCUCGUGCAGUUGGAAAUCUGAAUUUCGGACCCAGGACUUUGCCAGGAGCCAG